RNAcentral lists this unclassified non-coding RNA (378 nucleotides) under uncultured bacterium. RNAcentral's name for it is "contains 16S-23S intergenic spacer region". The record is from RNAcentral.
UCCGAGUUGACCCCGGCAGUCUCCUAUGAGUCCCCACCAUCACGUGCUGGCAACAUAGGACGAGGGUUGCGCUCGUUGCGGGACUUAACCCAACAUCUCACGGCACGAGCUGACGACAGCCAUGCAGCACCUUGCUCCAUGUCCUUGCGGAACAGUCCAUCUCUGGACCCAUCAUGGGCAUUCUAGCCCAGGUAAGGUUCCUCGCGUAUCAUCGAAUUAAACCACAUGCUCCACCGCUUGUGCGGGCCCCCGUCAAUUCUUUUGAGUUUUAGCCUUGCGGCCGUACUCCCCAGGCGGGGUGCUUAAUGCGUUAGCUGCGGCACAGACGGCGUGGAAUACCGCCUACACCUAGCACCCACCGUUUACGGCGUGGACUAC